This 320-nucleotide ribosomal RNA is filed under the name uncultured Rhogostoma. RNAcentral's name for it is "partial 18S ribosomal RNA". The stretch from base 110 to 320 matches the Rfam family "Eukaryotic small subunit ribosomal RNA", at positions 743 to 955 of the family's 1831-position model. Lineage: Eukaryota; Cercozoa; Thecofilosea; Cryomonadida. The record is from RNAcentral.
GAUUUCUGGCUUUGUGUAUUCGGCCCGCCGGGGUUACCCGUGUGAGUGCCGAGGUGCGCAUGCCAUCCUUCUAGUUCGAGUUUGCCCCUUCAUUGGUGGUGAGCUAGGUCUAGAUCGUUUACUUUGAAAAAAUUAGAGUGUUUAAAGCAGGCUUUUGCUAUGAAUACAUUAGCAUGGAAUAAUAAUUUAGGACUUCGGUUCUAUUUUGUUGGUUUUGCGUACUGAAGUAAUGAUUGAUAGGGAUAGUUGGGGGUGCUAGUAUUCAGUGGCCAGAGGUGAAAUUCUCGGAUUCACUGAAGACUAACUUAUGCGAAAGCAUU